Sinocyclocheilus rhinocerous is the source of this 499-nucleotide long non-coding RNA. RefSeq lists it as uncharacterized. The record is from RefSeq and is a predicted model, not a curated record. The transcript is spliced from 3 exons. NCBI's taxonomy places the organism in Eukaryota, Metazoa, Chordata, Actinopteri, Cypriniformes, Cyprinidae.
AACAGCUUCCUCUCUCUAAUACUGAUCACAUCCUAAUUUUGAAUUAACUCUCCAAUAUUAGCCAGAUUCUUUAUCAUUUACAACAAAUUGCGAUGUCGGAUCUGCGCCUCGGCGAAAGUGUUUUUUUUUUCUUUCUGUGAAUGUUUGUAGUGGGAAAAGUUUGUUUAUGUUGAGAAGGGUAGGUCCACACACACACACACACACAUACACACAUAGGCGGCGGCUGUUUUUGAUCACAGUGCGCGAAGCAGGAAUCCGAGGAAAUGUGGUGAUACAACAAGUGCAGUUGUGCUGGAUCACCCGGUUUGUUCUCUGUUUACAUACAUUUGGGUUUACCUCAUGGCAGCCACAACAUGUUUCCUUCGAUCCUAGGACCUCAGAUUUCAAGAAAGUCACGAUUGCUGUAUAUCUGCUUCCAGUUUCUUUGACACAGUCCAUCACAGUCCCUUUCAUCUCUUUACUUAGCACCUAGAGACGCUGCUGAUUGUGUCUCAUAGAG